This 2878-nucleotide ribosomal RNA is filed under the name Stenotrophomonas pavanii. RNAcentral's name for it is "23S ribosomal RNA". It matches the Rfam family "Bacterial large subunit ribosomal RNA". The record is from RNAcentral. Lineage: Bacteria; Pseudomonadati; Pseudomonadota; Gammaproteobacteria; Lysobacterales; Lysobacteraceae.
GGUCAAGCGAAUAAGCGCACACGGUGGAUGCCUUGGCGGUCAGAGGCGAUGAAGGACGUGGCAGCCUGCGAAAAGUAUCGGGGAGCUGGCAACAAGCUUUGAUCCGGUAAUGUCCGAAUGGGGAAACCCACCCGCUUGCGGGUAUCCUGCAGUGAAUACAUAGCUGCUGGAAGCGAACCUGGUGAACUGAAAUAUCUAAGUAACCAGAGGAAAAGAAAUCAACCGAGAUUCCGUAAGUAGCGACGAGCGAACGCGGACUAGCCCUUAAGCUGAUUUGGUUCUAGGAAAACGCUCUGGAAAGAGCGGCCAUAGAAGGUGAUAGCCCUGUAUCUGAAAGGGCCAUUUCAGUGAAGACGAGUAGGGCGGGGCACGUGAAACCCUGUCUGAACAUGGGGGGACCAUCCUCCAAGGCUAAAUACUACUGACCGACCGAUAGUGAACCAGUACCGUGAGGGAAAGGCGAAAAGAACCCCGGAGAGGGGAGUGAAAUAGAACCUGAAACCGUGUGCGUACAAGCAGUAGGAGCUCCGCAAGGAGUGACUGCGUACCUUUUGUAUAAUGGGUCAGCGACUUACUGUUCGUGGCAAGCUUAACCGUAUAGGGGAGGCGAAGGGAAACCGAGUCUGAUAAGGGCGCAUAGUCGCGGGCAGUAGACCCGAAACCGGGUGAUCUAGUCAUGCCCAGGGUGAAGGUGCGGUAACACGCACUGGAGGCCCGAACCCACUCCCGUUGCAAAGGUAGGGGAUGAGGUGUGAUUAGGAGUGAAAAGCUAAUCGAACCCGGAGAUAGCUGGUUCUCCUCGAAAGCUAUUUAGGUAGCGCCUCAUAUGUAUCCUCUCGGGGUAGAGCACUGUUAUGGCUAGGGGGUCAUCGCGACUUACCAAACCAUUGCAAACUCCGAAUACCGAGACGGACUGUAUGGGAGACACACGGCGGGUGCUAACGUCCGUCGUGAAAAGGGAAACAACCCAGACCCACAGCUAAGGUCCCAAAUUUUGUGCUAAGUGGAAAACCAUGUGGAAAGGCACAGACAGCCAGGAGGUUGGCUUAGAAGCAGCCACCCUUUAAAGAAAGCGUAAUAGCUCACUGGUCGAGUCGGUCUGCGGGGAAGAUUUAACGGGGCUAAGCACAGAACCGAAGCUUGGGGUGCAUAACUUUGUUAUGCGCGGUAGAGGAGCGUUCCGUAAGCCGUUGAAGGUGGAUUGAGAAGUCUGCUGGAGGUAUCGGAAGUGCGAAUGCUGACAUGAGUAACGAUAAUGCGGGUGAAAAACCCGCACGCCGAAAGCCCAAGGUUUCCUUGCGCAACGUUAAUCGGCGCAGGGUGAGUCGGCCCCUAAGGCGAGGACGAAAGUCGUAGUCGAUGGGAAGCAGGUUAAUAUUCCUGCACCUCGCGUAAGUGCGAUGGAGGGACGGAGAAGGUUAGGUGUACCAGGCGUUGGUUGUCCUGGGGAAAGGCGGUAGGUUUGGAUCUUUGGCAAAUCCGGGAUCCUUUAAGACCGAGCACCGAGACGAGCCUUUAAGGCGAAGUCACUGAUACCACGCUUCCAGGAAAAGCUCCUAAGCUUCAGCUUACGCAGACCGUACCGUAAACCGACACAGGUGGGUAGGAUGAGAAUUCUCAGGCGCUUGAGAGAACUCGGGUGAAGGAACUAGGCAACAUGGCACCGUAACUUCGGGAGAAGGUGCACCCUUUUGGUGGCUCAUGCGAGCUAUAGCUGAAGAGGGUCGCAGUAACCAGGCCGCUGCGACUGUUUAUCAAAAACACAGCACUCUGCAAACACGAAAGUGGACGUAUAGGGUGUGACGCCUGCCCGGUGCUGGAAGGUUAAUUGAUGGGGUCAGCCGCAAGGCGAAGCUCUUGAUCGAAGCCCCAGUAAACGGCGGCCGUAACUAUAACGGUCCUAAGGUAGCGAAAUUCCUUGUCGGGUAAGUUCCGACCUGCACGAAUGGCGUAACGACAGCGGCGCUGUCUCCACCCGAGACUCAGUGAAAUUGAAAUCGCUGUGAAGAUGCAGCGUUCCCGUGGCAAGACGGAAAGACCCCGUGAACCUUUACUAUAGCUUUACACUGAACGUUGAGUUCGUCUGUGUAGGAUAGGUGGGAGGCUAUGAAACCAUGGCGCUAGCUGUGGUGGAGCCAUCCUUGAAAUACCACCCUGUCGUGCUUGACGUUCUAACCUGGGCCCAUUAUCUGGGUCGGGGACCGUGUAUGGUGGGUAGUUUGACUGGGGCGGUCUCCUCCUAAAGAGUAACGGAGGAGCUCGAAGGUACGCUCAGCGCGGUCGGACAUCGCGCACUGUGUGCAAAGGCAUAAGCGUGCUUGACUGCAAGAUCGACGGAUCAAGCAGGUAGGAAACUAGGACUUAGUGAUCCGGUGGUUCUGUAUGGAAGGGCCAUCGCUCAACGGAUAAAAGGUACUCCGGGGAUAACAGGCUGAUACCGCCCAAGAGUUCAUAUCGACGGCGGUGUUUGGCACCUCGAUGUCGGCUCAUCACAUCCUGGGGCUGUAGUCGGUCCCAAGGGUAUGGCUGUUCGCCAUUUAAAGUGGUACGCGAGCUGGGUUCAGAACGUCGUGAGACAGUUCGGUCCCUAUCUGCCAUGGGCGUUGGAGAUUUGAGAGGGGCUGCUCCUAGUACGAGAGGACCGGAGUGGACGAACCUCUGGUGUUCCGGUUGUCACGCCAGUGGCAUUGCCGGGUAGCUAUGUUCGGAAGCGAUAACCGCUGAAAGCAUCUAAGCGGGAAGCGCGCCUCAAGAUGAGAUCUCCCGGGGCACAAGCCCCCUGAAGGAACCAUGUAGACUACGUGGUUGAUAGGUCAGGUGUGUAAGUACAGCAAUGUAUUGAGCUAACUGAUACUAAUGAUCCGUGCGGCUUGACCAU